CCCCAUACCUCCACUCCAACCGACUACUGAAGCAUCCAUCUUAUCGCCGCACUUCCUAUCUUUGCCCAUCUCCACUACUUGACUUUUUUUUUUUUUUUUAUGUCAUUUAUUUUGCUUUGUCUUGUUUUUUGUUCUCAAAAGUGCGAGAGCAGGAACGUUCUACCUGAUUCUAGUACGGCAAGCCGUUGGAGAAUUAUUUGAUAUCCUACUAGUGCGCUGAAUUGUCCCUUUACUCGUACACUGUUUGUCCUCAUCGGUAAGACAAGUCAGCACACGAGUAAAGCAACUAGAGUGCACUUGUUGAAUGACUGUCUUACAGGUUUGUGCACUAGUAGUUUUUCCCCACUAUCGACUGACAUUUUUGAGCACUCAGAGAAUAACGAAAGUAGAACAACAAAGGCGCACGAGUACUGACUGAGCCGCACUAGUCGAACUAUUAAAGCGGCACUAGUUGCAUCGCUAAGGUGGACUCGGAGAGUUACUACGGUGCCUUAGUAGAACAACUAAGAAGCACUAGUAGACAAGCUAAAUUGCACUAGUAAAACGAUUAACCCUUUCGGGGACAGCGGUUACUACAGUGGACAGCUUAUCAUGUUAUCAGGUUACAGGAAAAGGGUUCGAGUGCACUAGUAGAACGAUGAAAGCAACACUAGUAGAAUGACUAAGGCGCGCUAGUAUAAUGAUUAAAGCCCACAAAGAAAACAAUUAAGGCAUACUAGUAUCAUGAUGAAUGUAGCACUAGUAGUAUAAUGAUGAAAGUGCACUAGUAGAAUGACUAAGGCGCACAAGUAAAAUGAUUAAAGCCCACAAAUGGAACAAUUAAGGCACACUAGUAUAAUGAUGAAAGUGUACUAGUAGAAUGACUAAGGCGCACUUGUGGAAUGACUCCAGUGCAACAGUAGAACACUUAAAAAUAUUAAUAUAAUAGUACAACAACCAGAGCCUGCUAGUAGAGCAACUAGGGCUGCCUUAGUUGUGAUGUCCCCCCCCCCCCACUACAACAGCUAGUAGAACAGUCACAUGUUGAUAGUGAGGCAAAACUGCACUAGUAGAAAACUCUGUGCAACCAGUACGUCGAGCGGUAUCCACUAGCUAACAUCGAGCGCUUCACCGGGAGCACACAGACUGUCAACUAGUGUACAGCUGUGCCUCACAAGUUACAUGUAGUUGUUCUACUAGUGCGGCAAAUUGUCGAGUAUUACCAAUUGUCUUUACGAGAGAGGACAGAGAGGGUGGUGGUACCCAGACAAAUCGGCACACUAGUAGGCUAUUGACUAAAUGCUGAAACGGCUUUCCACGGAACGCGAGUAUGCAUCCAAAACAACAAGAAGGGAUAUUAUUUUAUUUUUUUAUUUUUUGGGUCUCGCCGCGGAUUUUGUUUGUCUUUUUGUGUUUGUGAAUGUGGCGUCUUGUCGCGCGGACGGCGCUUCAGGAAUGUGACAAUGACGGCUUGUCGAGAGGGAGGACGGGGGUUGGCCCGGCCGUCCAUCCGAGUCCUAAUCAUUAAAUCGAAUCAAUCCCAAAAUGCGUCCGCCUCCUGCUGUCUGCGUCUUCUCGGCGCCUAAAAGGAGUCACGCGAUUGGCCGGUUUUCACAAACAACACUUUUGUGCUCCGUUCACGUGGCGAAUGCUAAAGAAAAAUGGAAAGUUACACUAGACAACAACAAAUUGGAAUCAGAGAUGUCUUCAUGUGUCCCGAAACGCAUUUCUGACUCUGAUUUCAAGAAUGUGUUUACUUUUUUUCUAGCACAUCAGGAUACGGAUUUUACCAUACCUUGUCAUUUCUAGCCAUGACGUUUCCAAAAAAAAACAAAAAACCUGUUGCUGAACCUAAACUAAUAUUAUGAUAUUCCAUUAUAUUAUUAUUAUUAUUAUUAUUAUGAGGGAAACCUGAUGUGCUCGACGAGAAAUAAAACAAAGGCAUAUUCAGAAUCAGUGCCCAAAAUUAAUCUUUAAAAACUUAACUGAUAUCUGAUUAAAAAAAAAAA
Molecule: long non-coding RNA, 1988 nt
Organism: Hippocampus comes (tiger tail seahorse)
Lineage: Eukaryota; Metazoa; Chordata; Actinopteri; Syngnathiformes; Syngnathidae
Exons: 2
Source: RefSeq, a predicted model, not a curated record